Triticum aestivum (bread wheat) is the source of this 3826-nucleotide long non-coding RNA. RefSeq lists it as uncharacterized. The transcript is spliced from 6 exons. The record is from RefSeq and is a predicted model, not a curated record. Lineage: Eukaryota; Viridiplantae; Streptophyta; Magnoliopsida; Poales; Poaceae.
GGAGGCUAGCCCAGAUCCUCCUCUUCCAGCCCAUCCUCUUCGUCACGCACAGUGGAAAAGGUUGGCCACGACGGUGCUAGCUCGAGCUCCGCCACCCCAUCCCCGGCCGUUGUUUGUUGAUGGCAGGCCGAGCUCCGCCUCCACGCCCUGCGGAGUCGGCCCGAUGUGUUGGGAUUGGACCUCGAUGGCGUCUGCUCCCGAUGGGACCUCAACGGCGACCUGCAGGUGUCAAAAGCUAUGUGACAAGAAUUAGGUGGCAUGACAGUGUCCAAAAUAAAGCGACGACAUAGAUUCCCGGCCUCAUUCGUGCCGCCGCUCGAGCCGCACGGCGUACCACGCCCCUCGGCGGCAUGGUGAGCAGAAGCAGCAAGCACUUAUUGAUGAUCGCCUUCUUCACAUUUAUGGCCGGCCGGACCGACGAAGGCAUAUGGCUACGUGGCGGGCGCUGCAAGAAGCUAUUGUUUUGAGGUUGAUUUGACUUUGCACAUCGUCUGCGUCCUCAGUGAUGUGCCAAGCUCCCAUUUAUGUGAUCUUUGCAAGUGAGGCAGAGAAAGCAGGGACAAAAGUCGGCAACCACAAGGAAGGCGCCCAAGUACGCUCUAUUUUGUUGUCACCAUUGUAAAAUCUUAAACGCAAGAGAUAAGAGAAUUUUGGCUGAAACCAAGCUCACUGACGUAUAGAUUAAUUUUGCUUUCAUUGAUGCUGAUGUAAUUGAAGAGGGCACAUUGGCUGCAGGCAUCGGGUGCCGGAAAAUCGAAAGCAGAGAGCCUUCUUUCAUGCAAGAGAAGGUGCAACUCUUGAUUGGUCUGGAUCCAUAUGGUAUUGUUAAAUCGGCUGGCAAGGUUGCCUUUAUCAUUGACAAUGACAAAUAUGUGAAUGGCAUCGAAUGUUCCAUUCCAGUUUUGAUCAAAAGUGUAAGCAAUCUCUAUCUUCUGGCACCAGAGACUAGAUCUAUUUUCUGUAAUGUUCAUUAAGAGAAGAGUAGAUUAUUUCAGGGAAACUGGAUCGGCACUGCUCAAGAAAUUGAUGAGUUGUUCCUAGGCGACGCAGAAGUGUGCAGCUCAUCAAUCUUUUAAUAACUUCUAAAAUUUCCUUCUCUUAGCAGCUACUAGAUUUCUGAAUAUGAACAUUAAAUUGCACUUCCCGACCCCAGAAAAUUAAAACCAGUCCGUUGAUCUCGUUACGUGAUACCUGAAAGUUUGAAGGAGGCCCUCCAUUGAACAGCUGGUCCAUCGGGAGGCGACUUCCCAUUGGCCAAGGAGGGCCAUCGCAUGCUUGAUGUCAUCUUCACAACCCCCAUCCAGGAUCUUGGUAUGCGUGUAAAUGGAACCCUGUUACUUCUCAAGGAUCUAAAUUUGACAUGAUAAUUCAGUAACUAUUUCUCCAAUGGAGGUUUAGCUGGUUUGCCUUCGUCACCCCAACGCUACACCAUGUUUAUUUGGUUUCUGAUGACCUCCCGUGCGACAUUGCUGGUAUGUUUUGCCUUCCUGCUGUGCUUGCAAGCAUUUGGCAUCUACUGCAAUCUUGAGAUGAUGCAUGUGCUGCCUAAUUUUCUACUACUAAAUCACAAAGCCAUGUUCCGAUUACUGGCAACAAGAAUCAACACGAUAACUCAUUCUGUUACAUGCUCUAAACUAUUUUAUUGGAGUUUGCUAAUUCCAUGUACUGGAAGCAAUAGCCUACAAAUUUGAUCACUAUGCGUAGCGUUUUUCCUUCCAAUGGAUUAUCAUGUUCCAACAAUUUCCUACAAAAGCCAGUAUGUUUGUUCGCUCUACCAGCGGUUCUUUGCAUAGUUGUAUGCUUAGAGAAUAUUAUAGUGGAUUGUUAGCCAAGUCUUAUUUGUGACAAGGUGCUAAGCUGCCGAGGUAAUUGUACACCUAAACUGAUUCUACAUAUUAAUUACAUAUAUGCAAAAGAAAAAAAAUUACUUUUCCUUUUCAAAUUCACUAACUGGGAACAUGAUAGUGACCUGGUUGUAGGGGCCGGGUGUGUGCUUAAUCUCCUCACCCACCUCAGUUGAGGUCUAGGAACUGUUUGGGCGCACCCUUAUUCAGUAUGUACUGAAUUUUACUUGCUAUUUUUUAAUCCUAUUAAACCAAGAUGCCUUUUCUGCAUUGUCACACAUUGAUACUCCUAUUUGAAGGACCCAAGAAAAUUCAGCAUUUGUACUACUCCGUUUCUUAGUAGUUAUGCUCUUUUUCUGAAAUCGAAAUAGUCAAGUACAAAAAUAGUGUUGAUUCUUCUCCUUUUGUUAAUGAUUUGUUCUAACUAUAACAUUAAAGUGAAUCGUAUUUAUGAAACUGUCCCAAUUGCAGAACAAGUUGGCAUGGAGCAAUCUGUUCUAAAAUUAAUGUAUCCAUGUGUUACUGCCAAUCAGGUGUUUUCCUUCCUUUCUUUUGCUGAAGCUCUAUAUGAAUUGUUCUCUGCAUGUAAGUGGUCCAUAUGGAUUUUUAAUAUAUUAUGCUAUGUACAAGUGAUCGUUCUAUGUUUGCAGGUUAGGUAUGAUGGAUAGUGUCCGAUUAUGGAUAGUGGUCCAUAAGGAUUUUUAAUAUAUUAUGAUGUUGUGUUAUGUACGAAAACAAUUAUUGUGAUGUUGAUGCAGGCAAUUAUACAAGGAAAAUAAUUGUUUUUGUCAAAGGUCUUGAUUUCUGUGGUGGGCGCUAUGAUACUCCUAGGCAUCCUCUAUAUUGAACGCUUCAAACUCUGUGCAAGGAGGGUUAUUAAAUCCAAACUUUGUUGUAAGUGUCUGAUUCCGUUGUCAUAUACCCCAUUUGUGUUUUAAAGAAGAUUGUAUAUAUACUUAUGCCUUACUUCAGUUUCUCAUGUAAUGUUUACCAUAGUGUGCCUGGUACAGUUUCAAUGAUUAUUACCUAAGCCAUUUGGUUUUUAUAAUUCUCACUUGAUGAUGCCAACAGUUCAUCAAUUCCACCUGAAUUUAUCUGCCUGAUCUUGUAGCUAUCACUAAGCUUUGAUUGCUUGCAAUUUUAGGAUCAGUAGCAAGCUGAUGAUGCAGACCACUACUGGGUCUCGACUAUUUGAACACGAUGUCAGGAUCUUUGACAGAACAUAAUUUUGCGGACAGGGAGUUUGAGGCUAUCAUUGAUAAGGUAUCCUGGAGAGUUGCAAGAUUAUUGUCUUGUUUUGAAUCAUGUUCCUAUCGGUUUCUUCCUGCUGAGAGCGUAUUAUGUGGGCAAUGUAAUCAUCAUGCUCUACAGCUCUGUUUCCUUGAAAAUUGACCCUGUAAAUUCAUGUUUUCCUAGAACUGAUCCUGUAAAUUCUUCCUUUAUUUUAAUGAAGUUUGGCGCCAGUCUCUUUGAGAUAACAGCACAUUACAAACUAUUAUUAGGUUGCUACUGGUUGUGGUUAAGCUCAUCAAUUUUGUUGGAGGCCAGUAAUGUGCCAAACACAAUGCAAAAAAGAAAUUAAAAUGGGCGCCACCUAUCUGGCACCGCAAAGCUUCCGCCCAGGCGGGGCACCAAGGGUGCGCCCCAACCACUAGUCUUAAUAUAAAGAACGCAUUAUAAAGAGCGUAUUAGCACAAGGUGAAUGCAUGCAAGCAGAGACUCGCAGUUCCUUCCUCCUGGCAUAGGAAGGGAGGGCCCCUUUCCCUGCUCCACCUGGGCGGGCAGACACGCAUGCACGUACACCAUGCUACCGUGCGGGCAGCUAGCUAGCUCUCUCCCAGUUCCAAAACCUGCCUGUCUGCACAUGCUUUGAAUGCGGAACUUGACAGGAGCUGCGCCCUUGCAGUAUCCAUUUCUUCGCUCGCUUCCUGCCUCACCUCGCGCAUUCAAUUGUUCCUCCUCCUUCCCCACCCCCUUCCUGC